CUUAAUGAGAAGCAGGCUCUGAGAGGCAGCAGGAACACAAGGAGGCUACCUAGCAAGAGCACAACCAGACCGCGGUCCCAGCCCCCUGUGGCCAGAAUGCGGCCAUGGGCUGCCAGACGACGUGUUGGUUCAGGCCUACCUCGACUGCGGAGGCCACCUGAGAAAGCCUACCUCUCCCUGUGUCUUUGUGUCUGUGGCUCUGCUCAGUAUCAUUGACUGAAGGGGACAUGGAGACCAUCUAGUCCAACAGCCUGGACAAGGAAACUGAGGCUUCCAGGGAUCAAGCCCCUACCUGCCACCUGACUCCUGAGAGGGAUAUGCUUCCACCCCUCACUCCCAGAGGCUGGGGGAAAAGUCUCCUCUUUGUGACACAACUAAAGGAACUAAAGACCUGAACUGAAGCUCCAGAGUCCCCUCUGGGUUUGUCCCAAGAGGCCCAUGGUGGUUGUCCAGUCUGGACUCCUACAGUCCUGAUGUCACAGCAAAGGGUUCUGAGGUCCAUCCAUUGAAGGGCACACAAGUAAACGCCAGAUUUGUCUCUCUUACUGAAGCAUGAGUCUUACCUGGAUCUAUGGAAGGUCAAGGGCCUUGUAUUUAACACCAAAUACAAAUUUCUUUGCUUGAAUAUUCUAGAAUAUAAUAACUGCCUGGCAUGUUGCCAUUUCAUUUUGAUGGUUCCAAUCUAAAUGCAACAUGUACUUGAAAAGCUGCAUUCUGAAACUAUGACUAAAAUGACACUAGAGAUCUUAUUUUUCCAAAUAAGCUGAUUCAGACAUUACAUUCUUGGUCAGUCCUCUGGACAAAAGGGAAAAACACAGGUGUUAGAUUCCAAAGUGGGUUAGUGGAGAGAGCUUUUUAGUAGAGGUUGCUGCCUCAGGAGAACAAACUAUGUCUUGCAUACCAAGCAUUUCUGGUGCAGGGAAUAAAUCCUUCACCUGUGUGUUCACUCUCCUUUGUACUCCCCAAAGAUUACUCAACUAAACACUAAAUUUGAUGAGGACUCCAUAUCAAGAGAUCAUCCUUUUUGCUUUUUUAUUGAUUUGUAGUCUUUUUAUAUCAACUCUGGCUCUCCAUCUCUGUUACACAUCAGGGUUAAAGAAAAGAUUCAGGUAGAAAAGAUUUAGACUUGAAAAGAAGCAUGAAUGUGUUGCAAGGAAUUGCCAUCACUGACUGGGAAUGCUCUGGGUGUAGCUGACUCUAUUCACAACACAACAAAAGUUGGCAAGAGGCCUAGGAGCAAAAAUGAAAACUAAACCAUGCAGAUGAAACCCUGCCAAGUAAUGGGAAAAGAUGGAACUGUCCCUAAGAAGAGAAGGGGGGGACUCAGAAGAAAAUGGCAAACUCCUGACAAUGCUGUAAAGGCCACAUGGUUGUAUUUCUUUUUAAAAUCAUUAACACUCAACAGGCAGAGUUUGCUUUACUUCAUGACGCUUCAAGGGUUCAGGCUGCAGUCUGCCCAGCACCCCUCUGUUCACAGGGCUGCUCCUGUCUCUUUCUACGAGGUUCUGAUAGGACCACCAACACCAAUUCAUCCCCGACUCCCUGGCGAAGGAGAGGGCACAUAACCCUGGCCAAUCUUGUUCUCCACGGCCCUGUGUAAGGUCAUUGGUUCAAAGGAUGGGCAUAUGACCCAAGUCAAUGAAAGAGUCUCCAAGACAUUGGGCCUGUAGAUGCCACAUCAUUGUUUCUGUUUCUGAGCUCCUAAGCUCAAAGGUGCAUAUGAGCUUACAGCUUCUGGGGGCUGUUCUGUGGUUGAAUGGAGAACAAAGCAAACAGAGGUAGGUGGAAGGGAAUGGGCAGGAAAUGGGAAAGAAUAGAAGGAGGGAAGAGAGAAACAGAGUGAAGCCAUGACGACACUGUUUGAAGGCCUGGAUCCACUUACGUCGGAGCCAGCACUUGCUCAGCUUGGCUUCCCCUCUAUAGAAGUCAAAAGAUGCUCUUUGGUGCUUAAGCUGAUUUGACGUAGGUUUCUGUCAAUUGCAGACCAAGACCUGGAAACUCUUCUGACUCCCAUUUUGUAAGUAUGGAGAAACUACGUCCCAGAGACGUGUCGGCCAAGAUUAGACAGGAAGGUGAAGGAAAGUCCUCGUGAGCACAGAAACACUGUGUGCCAAUGGACUGACCAACACACCGAAGGCCACUAUAGAAUCACAGAACUAGAGAUUCCUCUCCCACACCUCAGACACGUGAUCUGCUAGCCUCUGCUUGAGCAUCAUGAAUUGUAUCAGCCUUUGUCACAGCUCUGAGAUUUCUGGACUCCAAAAGGACCCUGCAUUCCCAAAAUGUCUUGCUUUCAAGCCUACAAUAGUAUUUUAUUUUUUGCUCCAGUUUCUUUUUUCUCUUUAAGAAAAAAAAGAUGGAAUUUGUUUUUCAUGUUAUCUCAAAGAUCCCAAGGGCAGGAGGUAUAACUGGGUCUCACAGAUGUCUAGACAGCAACUAGAAAAUGAGAAAUACACAGUGCUGGCUGUGUCUCUUGAGAGUCACAUGGCUUCUUAACUUUUGCUUUUACCGUUCUUCCUCCUUCUUCUCUCUGCUUAGGAUCUUCUCGUCUUCGUACCCAUGCCCUCUCCAGCACCAGCGUCGCCCACCUGCUAGGUUCAAGCAUCCAACAGUAACCACUUCAGUACAUUGAGAUCAACUGUUCUCGGACUUUUUGGUCUCAGACCUCCUUCUUACUCUUAAAAAUUGUUGGGGAACCCAAAGAUCUUUUGUUGACAUAGGUUAUAUCUACUGAUAUUUACCAUGUUCAAAAUUAAAACAGAAAAAAAUUAAAUAUUUAUUUAUUCAUUUAAAGGUAGUGAUAAUAAACCAAUUACAUGUUAACCUAUAUAUUUUUUUUAUUUUGUUAAGGUCACAAUAGGUUAUAACAUUGUGAAAUUUCAGUUGUACAUUAUUAUUUGUUUGUCACUAUAUCUAUGUGCCCCUUUACCCCUUUCGCCCACCACUCACCGUCUCUCCUCUGAUAACCACUAAUCUAUUCUCUUUCUCCAUAUGUUUGUUUAUCUUCCACAUAUGAGUGAAAUCAAACAGUGUUUGUCUUUUCCUGUCUGGCUUACUUCAUUUAACAUAAUACCCUCAGGGUCCAUCCAUGCUGUUGCAAAUCGGACAAUUUUGUCUUUUUUUAUGGCUCAGCAGUAUUCCAUUGUGUAUAUAUACCACAUCUUCUUUAUCAAUCAUCAGUUGAUGGACACUUGGGUUGCUUCCAUAUCCUGGCUAUUGGGAACAAUGCAGCAAUGAACCUAGGGGUGCAUGAGUCUCUUUGAGUCGUUGAUUUCAAGUUCUUUGGAUAAACACCCAGUAGUGGGAUAGCUGGGUUGUAUGGUAUUUCUAUUUUUAGUUUUUGGAGAAAUCUCCAUACUCUUUCCCAAAGUGGCUGCACCAGUUUGCAUUCCCACCAACAGUGGAUGAGGGUUCCCCUUUCUGCACAAUCUGUCCAAUAUUUGUUGUUUUUUAUUUUGGUGAUAAUAGCCAUUCUAACAGGUGUAAGGUGAUAUCUCAUUGUAGUUUUGAUUUGCAUUUCCCUGAUAAUUAGUGAUGUUGAACAACUUUUCAUGUGCCUGUUGGCCAUCUGUAUGUCUUCUUUGGAAAAAUGUCUGUUCAUAUCCUCUGCCCAUUUUUUGCUCAGGUUGUUCGGUGUUUUUUUGUGGUUGAGUUGUGGGAGUUCUUUGUAUAUUUUGUAGAUUAGCCCCUUCUUAGAUACGUGAUUUGCAAAUAUUUUCUUGCAGUUGGUGGGUUGUCUUUUCAAUUUGUUGCUGGUUUCCUUUGCCUUGUGAAAGCUCUUUAGUCUGAUGAAGACCCAUUU
RNAcentral lists this long non-coding RNA (3802 nucleotides) under Equus caballus (horse). RNAcentral describes it as "lncRNA (ENSECAG00000054469.1)". Lineage: Eukaryota; Metazoa; Chordata; Mammalia; Perissodactyla; Equidae. The record is from RNAcentral.